RNAcentral lists this ribosomal RNA (260 nucleotides) under uncultured bacterium. RNAcentral's name for it is "partial 16S ribosomal RNA". It matches the Rfam family "Bacterial small subunit ribosomal RNA", at positions 233 to 507 of the family's 1533-position model. The record is from RNAcentral.
CCGUACGACUUAGUAGUUGUUGGUGAGGUAACGGCUCACCAAGUCGACGAUCGUUAACUGGUCUGAGAGGAUGAUCAGUCAGACUGGAACUGAGACACGGUCCAGACUCCUACGGGAGGCAGCAGUAAGGAAUCUUCCACAAUGGGCGAAAGCCUGAUGGAGCAACGCCGCGUGCAGGAUGAAGGCCCUCGGGUCGUAAACUGCUUUUAUGAGUGAAGAAUAUGACGGUAACUCAUGAAUAAGCACCGGCUAACUACGUG